AAAAAUUCCCUCCCAACCCGAUUCCUCUUCCAAUUUCAAACUCCCCCUAAAUUUUUUGUGCUUGUAUUCCUCUCCCUCCAUUUUCUUCCGUAAAUCAAUUUCCUCUCAACUCAUUCUCUUCACACACCUCUUCAACUCAAAAUCCUAGCUCAUGAUCCAGAAUAACAAAGCAAGUACAUGUCUCAAAGCUCGGACGUGAACCACCAUUCUAACCCAACCCGUUACCUAUUAGUUUCGGUCAAAACAAGGUCUUCGAUUGCAAAAAUAGAUUUAGGGUUCCGACUAGAGAGAUUUAGUAAGGAGCGAUACUGGAGUAAAUGCGCAUAAGUCGAAGACGUGAGAGGAAUCUGGAAAAGCUUAGGCUUCUUCCAAAGGAAAUGCAUAGAACCCCAAUUGGCCAAUUCUUCUUUCUCUAUCUAAUUCGUUCUGAUUUACCUUCAAAAUCUGAUUGGUUGAUAUGUCUGCUGGUGGUCAACUUGAAGCCAACAAGAAAGCUAUGAAGAUCCAGUGAUAUGGCUGAAGCAAUUGAUUUGACUGGAUAUGGAGGUGUUUUGAAGAUGCUUGUGAAGUGAAGAGUGCUAAAAAUCUGAUACUAUUGCUCCUUCAGAGAGUCUUCCUCUUGUUGAUGGUAAUGUUAUUCUACACUUCUAGACUAAAACUGUUUGCUAAUCUGGAUCUGAUCCGAGUUUCAUUGUUUUGAAUUGGUGAUAAUAUCCAACACUACUGAGAUAUAUGUUUGUUGUUGCUCAUCAUCUACCAUGCUCGCGGGUUAUAUAUAUGUCAAACAUGUUACGCGGCAAUAAAGUUGAAUUCUUAUUGUUUAGGUGAUAGACACAACAUUGUCAUGUGUUUAUUUGUAUCACACACAUUAUAAUAUUAAUGGACCGUUGAUUAUGAACAUGGGAUGGGGUGUGUGGACUGUUGGACAGUGCAUUAUGAAGGAAGUCUGGCUGAAAUAGGUGAAGUUUUUGAUACUACACAUGAGGACAAUACAAUUUUCACUUUUGAACUUGGCAAGUGCCCUGUGAUUAAGACAUGGGACGUUGCUUUAAGAGCAAUGAAGGUUGGCCCAUUUUUUACCUAGCAGCACAGGUUUCAAAGCCUCUUCACAUCUCAGUAUCCAAAACUGACCAACAAACUUCAUUUUGGCGAAAGCUGGUUGGGGAGGUUGCCAAAAUAACUUGCAAGUCAAAUUAUGCCUCUGGUAGCACUGGUUCUCCGCCAGAUAUUCCACCAGAUGCAACUCUUAUCUUUGAGGUGGAGCUGGUGGCUUGCGGGCCAAGAAAAGGUUCUCGCGUCGCUAACGCCAUAGAUGAAAGGGCUAGACUAGAUGCAGCUAAGGUUGUUUUGAAUGGGGAUUUGAGGAGGAUGCGGUCUAUUUCGAUUACUUGGAAUUAGAUUAGUGACUCCAAGGAACUGCAGUGGUUAGUUUUAUUGCACCGCCUUCAAGUCAGAUAUUUACAAGUUCAUAAUCUCAAUUUUUAGGUUGGGGAGGUUGCCAAAAUAACUUGCAAGUCAGAUUAUGCUUAUGGUACCACUGGUUCUCCGCCAGAUAUUCCACCAGAUGCAACUCUUAUCUUUGAGGUGGAGCUGGUGACUUGCAGGCCAAGAAAAGGUUCUCGCGUCGCUAACGCCACAGAUGAAAGGGCUAGACUAGAGUAAGUUAUGUAUCUAACUUUAUACACUUGAACAUAUAAUUGGAUGGGGGUGUAAACUAGCUGGGCCGAGUCCGAGCCUGACUAUGCUUGAGCUCGGCUCGGUUUGAGCCUACUUAUUUGAGCUCGAGCUCGGCUUGUGAGUAAAACCCAAAGCUUGAGCUUGGCUCGAGCUAUUUUGAGAACAACCUCAACGAGCUAAAAGCUAGGCUCGAGCUCGCUUCAAUGUUGCUUAAAUGAGCCAAAGUUCAGCUCGAGCUUGGCUCGCUAAUCUUAUCAUUAUUAUACAAUAUAUAAAAACUAAAAAAUUGGUUGGGCUCGUUUAGGCUCGCGUGCCUAGACGAGCCUUGUACUUUUAGGCUUGAGCUCGAGCUUGAUAACUUAUGAGCUCUAUUUCAGGCUUCAAGGCUCGGCUUGUUCGAGCUUUUAACCGAGCCAAUAACGAGCAGCCUUGAGCCUUUGACCUUGUUUACACCCCUAUUUGCAUGCUCAAAUGGAUCAUGUUUAAUAACUAGUGAGCUGAAGAGGCAAAGGGAAAUGGUUGCUGCACAGAAGGAAGAAGAGAAAAUGAAGUGUGAAGUAGCAAAGGCAGCAGUUGUUCCUCGUAUGCAAGUAGAGAGUAUGUGGACUUGAAGAAAACAACCAAGAAAUAACUCUUAGCUUUUGUGUACAUUUGUUUCUCUUUGCAACUUAUAUAGAUAGGCUAUGAUUAGAAGUUUAUGUCUUUAAUUAAUAUUUAAAUUGAAUGUAAGAUUAAAUAUAUUACGUAUUAA
RNA transcript from Helianthus annuus (common sunflower), 2428 nucleotides. It is a transcript of the gene named peptidyl-prolyl cis-trans isomerase FKBP20-1, with no coding region annotated. The transcript is spliced from 7 exons. Lineage: Eukaryota; Viridiplantae; Streptophyta; Magnoliopsida; Asterales; Asteraceae. The record is from RefSeq and is a predicted model, not a curated record.